AGUAAAGAUGGGAUGGAUGGCAGA
Molecule: microRNA, 24 nt
Filed under: Vriesea carinata
Lineage: Eukaryota; Viridiplantae; Streptophyta; Magnoliopsida; Poales; Bromeliaceae
Description: vca-miR10207-5p
Source: miRBase by way of RNAcentral